CGGCUGCACUGUUUUUUGCGGCCCUGAGCGGAGCAAUGAUCGCGUUUCUCAUUUUCCCCGUUGACAUGUUGCUCGGAGCGCAGCGCUAUUGGAACAGUAUUGCAGGUGACAACGGUACCAGCUUGAUUGGCUUCUACGCCCUCGCGCACGAUAGAUGGUCGUGGCCCGUUCUGUAUACUCAACUGAGCAAUUUUCCUGGCGGCGCGAAUAUCUAUUACUCCGAUGCGAUACCGGUGCUCGCGGUUUUUUUUAAAGCGAUUUACAAGGUUUCUGGCAUUNNNNNNNNACUUUGGUCUUUGGCUUCUCCUUUCAUACAUUCUGAUGGCAGUUGCUGCCUUUCUAACCUU
Molecule: unclassified non-coding RNA, 347 nt
Filed under: Hevea brasiliensis (rubber tree)
Lineage: Eukaryota; Viridiplantae; Streptophyta; Magnoliopsida; Malpighiales; Euphorbiaceae
Source: RNAcentral